GCAAAAACUACUACCAGUUAAACAGCAAAAACGCACCAGCAGCUGGAACAAGAACUAAUGCUACUAUAUACUUCCUGAUAUAAACCACUCACAGCAGGAACACUUACCAAAAGAAAGCGCUAACAGCAGAAAAUGCACACGGAUAUCAAUGAAAGUUAAAUUAUGUGAUUUGGAUGAUCUUAAUAUUGCAUAUUGUCAUUAAACUUGUUUUUCAAUACCAAAGUUUCUCCACUUAAGAACUAAUUGAGAAAGAGUCUUUGUAGCAGACCCGUCAUCUUUAUGUGCACUAUUAGCAGAUUCUUUUAAUUCCUUCAUAUUUUUGCGCAGUUUCCCACCUUCUUCCCCUUCCAUGAGACACUUGAUUAACUCUGCAAUUUGUACCUUUUCCACAAUGCCAUUCUGAUUAAUUUUUGGCCUCAGUCCCACUUUUAGUCCUUCACUCAACAAAACCGCAUUCGUUCUCUGCUCAGCAAAUAGAGGCCAUGUGAUUAGUGGCACACCAUGCAACACACUCUCAAGCAUUGAAUUCCAACCACAGUGAGUCAAGAACCCACCAACUGAACUGUGACGAAGGAUUUGAAUCUGUGGUGCCCAUGAUGGAAUAACCAUCCCUUGUUCCUUUGUUCUCUCCAAGAACCCUGAAGGUAAAAAUUGUAAAGGGUCAACAUCAGAUGCUGAAAGAUAUGCAGCAUUGGCUGUAUUACUUGGUGAUCUUACAACCCAUAAGAAUUUAUGAUUACUCAAUUCCAAACCCAAAGCCAGCUCAUUAAUUUGUUCUUGCGAAAGUGUUCCACCACUCCCGAAAGACACAUACAGAACUGAACAAGGCCGUUGUUUGUCCAACCAUGCCAGACAUUCAAACUUAUUAGCAUCAUCACCAGAUGUUGUUAGUGUUUGGAUAAUGGGUCCAACAGCAUACACAAGAAGGUUUUCACUUCCUUCGUCUGUCAGUGCUUCUAUAGGACCGUUUUCGAUUUCUAUGAAACUAUUAAUAAGAAUACCAUCAAAAAGACGCAAUUUUUCAACACCUUGGAGUAAGUAUUUGUAAGAUUGACUGGAUCUAUCUUGAGCUAGCUCAAAAAGAUCCCGACCAUGAAUCGGAACACUACCUGGUAUUUGAAUAGGCCCAGGAAGAUCUCUGUACUCGCAUGAUGUUUCCUUAUCUAACUUGAGCAAAUAGAAGUAUGAAGACAAACUGGUGGCUGAAGCAGGGUAGUAAACAUAGGACAACAAGUUGAAUUCCUUAGCAAAAUCCAGUGCAUCCAUUGCUGAUAUAUCAACCACCAAGGCAACAAAGGGUGUCUUUAAAGUUAAGGACUUCAAGGCCUGAUGUAUAGAUGGCAGUGAGUGAGUCAGUGUGAGCUGAAGUUGAAGUACUAAAGCAAUCCCUUGUGGUAGGUCAUUGGAGUUCACUGGUGGAAGAAAAGUACAGCUGAUGUUUGAUGGAAGAGUUUGAAGGAUUGUUUUUGAAUCAGUUGGGAGAGAACCAAGUGAGGGAAUGAAGCAUGUGACAUGAAAGUUUGGAUGAAGCUGAACAAGUCUCUUGGAGAAUUGAAGAAUAGAGACCAAAUGGCUAUAUCCAACACCUGGAACAACUGCAAUAUGAAUUGUUUUCUCCAUAAAAAUUUGUUCUUAGUUUACCGCUUAUAACUUUUUUUUUUUUUUUUUUUUUUUUAUGCUUGUGAAAGGAAAACCAAAAACAGAACUCACCUACCUCUACAUGCUCUGCAAAAUUGACAUUAUGUAUGUGUUUGACAAGUUUCAAAACGAUGAAUAAGAGCCACACAUGAUGGGAAGAACAAAUUUCUGACAUCCUACCCUACCAAGACAAAACACAAACCAAGUGUAUGAGUAUAUUUAUGUCCAGCACAUGGAAUUGUGUAAUGAAAGACUUUAUUUUGUACAGAAAAAAACAGGCCACUUACCACAAAAUAUAGUUAGAUGCAUAUAGGGCAAUAACUGAGGAUGUGUAUUAACACAAUUGAAAAUAGUAACUUAAGCAUUACUACUAGAAGUAACCAAACAGCCUUGAUGUCGGUGAGUUGGUGACUAAUAUAAAGACAACAAAAAUACCUUAUUAUAGAAAUUAAUUUCAAAUCUCAGCAACUAGAUGCUUAAUGUUAUUUUUUGUUCUUCAAGUGGAUGUCAUUACCUCAAAAUAAGAUCCUCAAGUAAUUAAAGCUAGUUCCAGUUAAAAAAAAUUGUAAUUAAAGCAGAGAAAAGUUCCAUGACAAAGCAUGAUAUUGAUAAAUGUUAGAAAAGAAUAGGAAGAUAAGGAAAAUUUAGGUUCUUCACUGUUUUUCUCUUAGAAGAAGAUCGUCAAAUUAGAGAGUUUAAGUAAAUUCAUUUUGUCUAAUAUGAAAUUGACUCUCGUAAACUCGACUAGUAUAAGUUUAUAUCAUAUAUAUUAAAAAUAAUAUACACAUGACAUAUUUACUUGUACUCUAUCCGGGAUAAAAUAUAAGCAAAAAUGGUAACCGAAAGGUCAAUGUAUAUCGUAAAAUAUUUAAUCCACAUACAUCAACUUUUCAACUACUAUUUUUGCAUACAUUUUAUUCCGGAAAUAAAUGGGUCAACAAUUCAAAAUUUCAACUUAGUUAUACAGUGAAAAAAAAAAGCGGACAUCAACAAAAUGAAACUAACAAAUAAGAAGAGAAACCGAAUGUGAAAACUAUGAUGAAAAAAAGAUCAAAAACAUUGUUAAAAGUUCCUUAUGAGUUUACCCAAGUUAGUGCGAGUUCAUCUAAGUUUACAACAGAGUCAACUUGAAACUGUACGAUUCAUCAAGUUAACUCAGGGAUUUUAACAACCUUGCUUGAAAGAUGAAGAACUCAAGUAUUCUCAUUAAGAUGGUUAGUCAUCUGGAUUAUGAUAAAACCUUCAAGGCACAAACUUUUCCCUGGUCUAUAUCUAGUUUCUUUGGUCUCAAAUUUGUGUCAAGGUAGAUUCCUAACUGAACUAUACACCAUUUGUAUCUAAAAGAGCAUUUGUCCUUAACAAAGAAAAUAAUUCAGAUUAGUCUAAAGGGCAUGUGCAACUCGACAAUGCAAAACAAUAUCAGCAUAAGCUUGUGAUGAUCAUAGUCUAAAUAUCUAAAAGGCCAGAGUCAAAAUCACUAUACAAGGUGAAUGCUGUAUAUAGAAAUUCAGAUAUGAUAAAUCAUGCCAUUACAAAACAAAAGAUAUAUAUAGUCACCAAUAGAAAGUACUGAGAAUCAUGCAAUAUCCAUUAAUGGAUGCACAAUAUUUAUUGAAGAUAAGACAAAGAAAAGUAAACUGUAAAAUAUAAGGCCAAAUAAGGUGAUAUAUAUUUUUUGAAUCAUGACAAAUAAGGUAUUUCUACACAAAACAAGCUUUCGCCUGAUAUAGCAAGUCAACAAUCCAGCUCAUCACCUAUAGAUAGCACAAAUAGCCUUAAUAGAAGUUAGUUAUAACCGGUUCCUUACUACUCAAAUAAACCUAUUAUCUUGUUUGUUCAAUAAAUAGGAUUCAUGUAACUAAAUCUACUUACAGAUCAAUGAAUCAACAUUUCAGUUUUCUCUCCUUUUUCUCCUUGAUCUUGAUCUCAUAAUACAUAUUGUCAUACAACUUGUUUUUCUAUACCAAAUUUCUCCACUUGAGUGCUAAUUGAGAAAGUGUCUUUGUAAAAGAUCCAUCAUCUUUAUGUGCACUAUUAGCAGAUUCUUUUAAUUCCUUCAUAUUUUUGCGCAGUUUCCCACCUUCUUCCCCUUCCAUGAGACACUUGAUUAACUCUGCAAUUUGUACCUUUUCCACAAUGCCAUUCUGAUUAAUUUUUGGCCUCAGUCCCACUUUUAGUCCUUCACUCAACAAAACCGCAUUCGUUCUCUGCUCAGCAAAUAGAGGCCAUGUGAUUAGUGGCACACCAUGCAACACACUCUCAAGCGUUGAAUUCCAACCACAGUGAGUCAAGAACCCACCAACUGAACUGUGACGAAGGAUUUGAAUCUGUGGUGCCCAUGAUGGAAUAACCAUCCCUUGUUCCUUUUUUCUCUCCAAGAACCCUGAAGGUAAAAAUUGUAAAGGGUCAACAUCAGAUGCUGAAAGAUAUGCAGCAUUGGCUGUAUUACUUGGUGAUCUUACAACCCAUAAGAAUUUAUGAUUACUCAAUUCCAAACCCAAAGCCAGCUCAUUAAUUUGUUCUUGCGAAAGUGUGCCACCACUCCCAAA
Molecule: long non-coding RNA, 4187 nt
Filed under: Medicago truncatula (barrel medic)
Lineage: Eukaryota; Viridiplantae; Streptophyta; Magnoliopsida; Fabales; Fabaceae
Description: long non-coding RNA (MTRU_LNC005820)
Source: RNAcentral